This 2999-nucleotide long non-coding RNA is filed under the name Homo sapiens (human). RNAcentral describes it as "non-protein coding lnc-WWOX-4:11". Lineage: Eukaryota; Metazoa; Chordata; Mammalia; Primates; Hominidae. The record is from RNAcentral.
AACCCUUCCUGCGCCGCUGCCUACCCGGGAGGGAACGAGGCCCGGCGCAAAGUUUGGUGGCUGGGCGCCGCCCGGCCAUGCGCCUGCCCAGAAGGCUGGGCAUCCGUGGAGAGGGAAAGCCCAUUUUAUCCCUCUCUUUACAACGAGGUAAAAUAAGUUGUUUAGAGGCCAUUCUUCACGGAGACCGGCUGCCCGCUGGCGUCGCGUGCCCUUGGACAGAGCGAGCGCCUAUGCGAGAUAACUCCGGGGAAGCUCAAAGUCAGGUCAGCCGGGCUCAGCCUUCCGGCUCCUGACUGGCCGGAGUUUGGCCUUUGAGACUCAUAUUGCGCGCUCGCUCUCUCUCUCUCUUACACACACACACACAAACACACACACACUCACACUCACCCGUCCCCUUACGAAAUCUGACCUCUGUUUAUCAGGGUCAGGCGCGCCCUUUGCACUUUUACGUUUCCUUUAAUUAUUUCGGACUUGAUCGUGGCAGGGAGCAAGGGGGAAAAACAAUACCCCAGCCCUCACCAGCUACCCUCGAAGGGUUAAAUUUUAAACCGCGGUUUCUGGAACUAGUCCGGAAACGCAGAGUGGGGGGUGGGGUGGGGGAGGCUGCUCCCCCCACCCCCAGUUGCAAAUGCUAAUAAGUAGUUCAAAUUUCUAGAUUGAUUCUCUAAAAGUUUAUGCAAAAAAGAAAUAAAAAAGAAAAAGAAAAAAGAAGGAAACCAACAACUAACUCUGUUUCUAAGAUUUUAAAGCGAUAGGCAAGUCGAAGAAGCAGAGAUUUAUUUGGAGAGAAAGCUCCUGAAACCGACCCAGCCUUUGGAAGACCAGCCCGUCUGCUUAGAAGUUGGGACUGUUGAUUCCUUCAAUUAAUGAAAUGCAUUUGGUGUUUUUAAUCGUAUUUAUUUUACUUUAUGAGAAGGGGGAGACGCUAGGAGGGUGCAUUAAAAAAAAAAAAAAAUUCUGAAAAGCCUGCAAAAGGAUCGAAGAGUGGAAACUAUUGUUGGAGCGAGUUGGUUUUUACCUCAACAGCGCCACCUUUCGGCAAAGGUUUCUUCCUUGGAAAACAAUAUACAUCACUUAAUGAAAUCUUUGUUUGUUUUGCACAAGAGAUGUAAAAAAUCCAGAUGUUUUCUUCAGUGAGAAUUCCUGGGAAGGUGUACCAGCCUUCUUCUCUUUCUUCACCUGACAAAGACACCCAACACGGCCUCUCAGACCGGAGGUGUUUAAUAUAUAGUUUUGACACGCAUGAACAUGGGAAUGAAAGGGCUCCUUUUGGUUUUAGACAAUAGACAGAGCUAUAAAAUGAUGAUGGAGCCUGUUUUCCCCACUCUUGUCAUUUUAAGUCAAUAGAUUUCCUGGGUUUCUUCCCCCGCCCCCCCACUUUGCCUUUUCAGGGGAUAGGCAUCUCCUUAGAUUUUUGUUUUUCUUCACUUAGGGUCAGCUUUAUGAUUCGUUCUUCUGCUGUCAUCCUUUUUCAUCCUAUUCACAGCCUGUACCGGUGAGGGAAUUUGUCUCAAAAGCAUUCAGCCCUUCAAAGAUUUUUAUUGUGGUGAACUCAGAACUGAUAAACAGAAAAACAGAAACAGAAAAAGGGAACUGAUAUGGGGGCGAUCUUGAUGCGGGUUGUGUCUCUCAUGCAUGAUAACUCAGAGGACAGGCUCCUCGGUAGUGCGGUAGUGCUAACUCUGUGAAGUUUCUUCACCCUCCUUCCUAGCCCUGGAGGCGGGGUGAUUCAUAGCUCCUGUUCCAAAGGCAUUCAGCAGCCAUUCGACCUGGGAAAGAAACAGAGUUUUAGAAAAUACAGGCCAAAUGUAGAGACGCCUGUGAUUACCAGGAUGAGUAUGUCAGUGCAGGUGGCUUCUGAAUUUCUGUUUCUGAGUUUGUUUGGCUGAUGCCUAAGGAAAGGGGUCCCUUACAGCCCUGUUUUAUACCUUAGUUCUUGGUGGCAACGUGGGUGUUGCUGAUCUCUCUGAUGUGUUUUUCUGUGCACUGAAAACACCAGACAUGCUCCGUGACAUCCUCGGAGCAUCUCCCAUCAUAAUGGAGUGUUCCUAACCUGACAAAGAAUAGCAUAUUACCUCCCCAUCUACUCAAAAUAAAAUUAUAGUAAAAUUUAUCGCCCUUCUGCUAAUAUUUUUUAUUUAGUAACUUUAUAACAGUGAUACAUACUCCUUAUUAAAUAUAAACAUUUGAACAGGACAGAAAUAGAAGGAUAUUCAAUAAAAGAACUGCUACUCCUCAUCUCCACCCCAGUCCUUAAACCCUGGUCUCGGGGGUUACCAUCUGUAAUAGUUGGGGUAUAUGUGGGUACUUUUUACAGAAUGGCAUCGAAGCAUGUACAUAGUUCUUUAACUUGUGCUCCCUUUAAAACACAUUCAUGUUAACAAUCUCAGAAAGAGAUGUUGGGCACUUCUGUCUUCUUUGGCAGAACUCGCCUAAUGGAACCUCAGACCGGGGGAAGUUUGGAGAUCUGAUCUUAACCUCGUCCUUCCAACCGGUAUAGGAGCUUGAAUCUGCUUUAGAUCACCAACUUCCCUGCCAUUUCCUGACGCCAAUUUUGAAGCCAGGGGGCUCAGAGGCAUUUUCUUCAACAGAAGAGUUCAGAGUUUCAGUGUCCACCUUUGAGCUGCAACUAGUCCCUCAGUGGUGUAAAUAUGCAUGCUGCUGCAGAAUCUCCUGUUCCAGGAUCCCACCUCGACCCCUUUCAGAGAAAUCUGGGAAUGAGAGAAGGAACCGGCCCAGGAGUGAUUUAUGACCUGCUGUCUGUGUCCUGCCUGAGGAAGCAUGGCUCUGGCUGUUUGAAGCAGACCCAGACUGGGAUCCUCAGAGAUUGGAAGGAGUGAUGGGGACCCUUCAGGAAAAUGUCACCGACCGUUGACUCUCAGCUCAGCUCGAAGCUGCUGAUGAGGGGGUAGGCUUGGUUGCUGUCACAGUGAUGUGAGCUCAGGCAGUUGGGGUUGGGGAAGAGGGACCAGCCAGGAGACAAAGCAUCUGAGUUCAGC